GAAGUCGUUACUCCAACCCUUGUGGAGGAGGACGCCGAAGGUGGGGCUAAUGACUGGGGUGAAGUCGUAACAAGGUAGCCGUACCGGAAGGUGCGGCUGGAUCACCUCCUAACAGGGAGACAACAAAAUGUAAAUAUUAAUUUUGUCACCUUAGGUCGAUCGGUAUCUCAGAUUCUUAUUAUUUAAGAAUUUCAGUUUCUAAGUUUUUUCUAGGUCACACCCAUCACUUUUUCCUGGGCCAUUAGCUCAGGUGGUUAGAGCGCACCCCUGAUAAGGGUGAGGUCCCUGGUUCAAGUCCAGGAUGGCCCAUAUCUCUAUGUUGGGGGUAUAGCUCAGUUGGUAGAGCGCCUGCUUUGCAAGCAGGAUGUCAGCGGUUCGAGUCCGCUUACCUCCACUGAAUACCACCUCUUACAUAUAGUUGAAGUGGGAAAUUGUUUUGAGUCGUGUCCUAAUUUGCUCUGAGCGAAUCUAGCUUCCUAUUUUAUCCAAGAAAUAAGAUGCUGGACUCAUUGAAUUUUUUUUCAUUGUUUUCAGAGAACCUUGACAACUGCAUAGAUUAUUUUUAAAGACAAUAAGCAUCUUUAAUGAUGCAGAUUUAUUAUUUGUGCGAAUGCAUUAAAUAACAAUUCUAUUAAGCUGAUGCUUCAAUUAUUGAAGUUAUUGGUCAAGCUACAAAGGGCUCACGGAGGAUACCUAGGCACACAGAGGCGAUGA
RNAcentral lists this unclassified non-coding RNA (714 nucleotides) under uncultured cyanobacterium. RNAcentral describes it as "partial contains 16S ribosomal RNA, 16S-23S ribosomal RNA intergenic spacer, and 23S ribosomal RNA". The stretch from base 1 to 112 matches the Rfam family "Bacterial small subunit ribosomal RNA", at positions 1423 to 1533 of the family's 1533-position model. Lineage: Bacteria; Bacillati; Cyanobacteriota. The record is from RNAcentral.